CAACCCUCUCAGGCUAUCCACAAGCUCUCUAGGUGAGUGGGAACAAAUGGCAGCCUAUCAGAGAAGUGCACCCAGGACAAUUGCACAGUUGUGAUCAUUUGGGGAUCUCAUGCAGACUCUCCCUGCAGCCCCCAGUGCACCAUCAGGAGUUUCUAAGUACAAAAUGAGACAAGGCAAAAUGGCCGAAUAGGAACAGCUCCAGUCUACAGCUCCCAGGGAGAUUAAAGCAAAAGAGAUGGAGUCUCGACACGUUGCCCAAGCUGUUCUCAAACUCCAGGGCUUGAACAAUCUUCCCACCUUGGCCUCCCAAGGCACUGGAAUUACAGGUGAGGCAC
Pan troglodytes (chimpanzee) is the source of this 335-nucleotide long non-coding RNA. RefSeq lists it as uncharacterized. The record is from RefSeq and is a predicted model, not a curated record. Lineage: Eukaryota; Metazoa; Chordata; Mammalia; Primates; Hominidae. The transcript has 3 exons.